Molecule: small RNA, 128 nt
Filed under: Yersinia intermedia
Lineage: Bacteria; Pseudomonadati; Pseudomonadota; Gammaproteobacteria; Enterobacterales; Yersiniaceae
Also listed under: 1 other name
Description: RtT sRNA
Rfam family: RtT RNA
About the family: This family represents a bacterial cis-regulatory element known as RtT RNA.
Source: RNAcentral
CUCAGUUGGCAAGAUAGUAGCUUUUAAUCAAUUGGUUAAAGGUUCGAGCCGAGCGAAGCGAGACAGCAACGCGCAGCGUUGACCCGAAGGGCGAAUCCGCAGGAUGAGUAAUCCCGCAUAAUUCGCGU